This is a long non-coding RNA of Cicer arietinum (chickpea), 515 nucleotides long. RefSeq lists it as uncharacterized. The record is from RefSeq and is a predicted model, not a curated record. Lineage: Eukaryota; Viridiplantae; Streptophyta; Magnoliopsida; Fabales; Fabaceae.
UAAUCUCCACUAGUUAUAUUCUCUCUGCCUUUUCGUGAAAGAAUGUGUGCGUAUAUAACAUAUCAAACCCUGCAUUCCAACGCCCAAUAUUACAAGUUCUGUUUUUCAACAAAUAUUUUGGGUUAAGAGUUUUGUUCUUGAAUUGAAGAGAUGAGUGAGAUUAAAUAUGGCUAUCCAUAUCCUGCUCAAGGCCCUUAUCAAGGACCACCUCCGGUGGCCGCACCUCCGCCAUACUAUGCUGCUGCUCCACCACCUAAAAGAGAACCAGGUUUUCUUGAGGGAUGCCUAGCAGCUUUGUGUUGCUGUUGCCUCUUGGACGAGUGUUGCUGUGACCCAACUAUUAUUUUUGCUACCUAAUGCACUUCACCAAACUGGGAAAUUUUACGCUAUUAAUUGUUGUAACUAUAUACUUGUAUUUGAAAAUUGUCAUUGUAUGAGUAUGUAACCAAUAUUUGCUAUUAUUAUUAUAUGGUAACUAUUGUUUUAACUGAAAUGAAAAUUCCCUUUGUUAUCUC